GUACACUCCUACGGGAGGCAGCAGUGGGGAAUUUUGGACAAUGGGCGAAAGCCUGAUCCAGCAAUGCCGCGUGAGUGAAGAAGGCCUUCGGGUUGUAAAGCUCUUUUGUCAGGGAAGAAACGGUGAGAGCUAAUAUCUUUUGCUAAUGACGGUACCUGAAGAAUAAGCACCGGCUAACUACGUGCCAGCAGCCGCGGUAAUACGUAGGGUGCAAGCGUUAAUCGGAAUUACUGGGCGUAAAGCGUGCGCAGGCGGUUUUGUAAGUCUGAUGUGAAAUCCCCGGGCUCAACCUGGGAAUUGCAUUGGAGACUGCAAGGCUAGAAUCUGGCAGAGGGGGGUAGAAUUCCACGUGUAGCAGUGAAAUGCGUAGAUAUGUGGAGGAACACCGAUGGCGAAGGCAGCCCCCUGGGUCAAGAUUGACGCUCAUGCACGAAAGCGUGGGGAGCAAACAGGAUUAGAAACCCCGGUAGUCC
This 473-nucleotide ribosomal RNA is filed under the name uncultured organism. Its description in RNAcentral is "partial 16S ribosomal RNA". It matches the Rfam family "Bacterial small subunit ribosomal RNA", at positions 331 to 796 of the family's 1533-position model. The record is from RNAcentral.